GGGGUCCUGGGCAGCCCUUAAAUACCGUCAAGCGGGCGCACACGGUCUCUUUCCCUGCCGCCGCGGAGUUGCGCGGAGGCGGAGGCUUGGGUGCGUUCAAGAUUCGGCUCCACCCAUAACCCACCGCCAUGGCCGAGGAAGGCAUUGCUGCUGGAGGUGUAAUGGACGUUAAUACUGCUUUGCAAGAGGUGCUGAAGACCGCCCUCAUCCACGAUGGCCUCGCGCGCGGAAUUCGCGAAGCUGCCAAAGCCUUAGACAAGCGCCAAGCCCACCUUUGUGUACUUGCAUCCAACUGUGAUGAGCCUAUGUACGUCAAGUUGGUGGAGGCUCUUUGUGCUGAACACCAAAUCAACUUAAUUAAGCUUAAUGCUUCCUACAGAUAUGAAAAUCAUCCCAUACACUUGAUGUUGGCUAUGUCAAAGGUGGUUAUAGAAGCAACUAUUCUUCCUGCAGUACUAAAUGCUAAUUUUGAUGUUGGUAUGGAACAAACCAAUGCCUGUAAUGAUCUUGGUGCUGUACAUGAUGACAACUGGCUCCCUCUACUGAAUUGGUUGACGACAACAAGAAACUUGGGGAAUGGGUAGGCCUCUGUAAAAUCGACAGAGAGGGAAAACCCCGUAAAGUGGUUGGUUGCAGUUGCGUGGUGGUUAAGGACUAUGGCAAAGAGUCUCAGGCAAAGGAUGUCAUCGAGGAAUACUUCAAAUGCAAGAAAUGAACAAAUAAACUUGGCUUUUGUU
Myotis brandtii (Brandt's bat) is the source of this 737-nucleotide RNA transcript. It is a transcript of the gene named ribosomal protein S12, with no coding region annotated. The transcript is spliced from 7 exons. The record is from RefSeq and is a predicted model, not a curated record. Lineage: Eukaryota; Metazoa; Chordata; Mammalia; Chiroptera; Vespertilionidae.